This is a long non-coding RNA of Asparagus officinalis (garden asparagus), 408 nucleotides long. RefSeq lists it as uncharacterized. The record is from RefSeq and is a predicted model, not a curated record. The transcript is spliced from 2 exons. NCBI's taxonomy places the organism in Eukaryota, Viridiplantae, Streptophyta, Magnoliopsida, Asparagales, Asparagaceae.
CAUGUGCUCUGCCACAGUUUGCACGUUUUAUUCACUCAAACAAUAAAACCUGUAACUCAAUUUAAUUAAUUACCUGUCUCGGUUUGAAUCUAAAUCUCUGAUAAUAACAAAAGGGUGCAUAUGACUUUUUCUGAUGCUGUUUCCCACAUGCAUGCCCAUGACAUCAUUUCUCCAUCUAAUGAUUAAAUCCCCCUCUCUUCACACAGACACGUUACAAGAUCAAAUUAAGAAACUAAGUUAAUGUACUAUUUUCUUUAUGCAUACACAUGUUCAAAUAAAAAAAGUUGUUGUGACGUUGUCAUGUUUCAGCGUCUUACUUGGGGGAAUAGUCAUGUCCUCAUAUUUGCAUCAUGUUAUGUUCUCAACUUUGUAUCCUUGGUUCUCAGUAGGAGUUUAGGUGUGGUGUCA